Molecule: non-coding RNA, 21 nt
Filed under: Caenorhabditis elegans
Lineage: Eukaryota; Metazoa; Nematoda; Chromadorea; Rhabditida; Rhabditidae
Source: RNAcentral
UAUCACAAUUUUUGUCAUCAU